AUUUAACGCUGGCGGCAUGCUUUACACAUGCAAGUCGAACGGCAGCGGGGAGGAGCUUGCUUCUCUGCCGGCGAGUGGCGAACGGGUGAGUAAUACAUCGGAACGUGUCGAGAAGAGGGGGAUAACCACCCGAAAGGGUGGCUAAUACCGCAUAAAUUCUGAGGAAGAAAGCUGGGGACCUCGGAAUAGGCCUAGCGCUUUUUGAGCGGCCGAUGUCGGAUUAGCUAGUUGGUGAGGUAAAGGCUCACCAAGGCGAAGAUCUGUAGCGGGUCUGAGAGGAUGAUCCGCCACACUGGGACUGAGACACGGCCCAGACUCCUACGGGAGGCAGCAGUGGGGAGUUUUGGACAAUGGGGGCAACCCUGAUCCAGCCAUGCCGCGUGUAUGAAGAAGGCCUUAGGGUUGUAAAGUACUUUUGUUAGGGAAGAAAAGUCAGCUGUGAAUAAUGGCUGAUACUGACGGUACCUAAAGAAUAAGCACCGGCUAACUACGUG
This 494-nucleotide ribosomal RNA is filed under the name uncultured bacterium. RNAcentral describes it as "partial 16S ribosomal RNA". It matches the Rfam family "Bacterial small subunit ribosomal RNA", at positions 30 to 507 of the family's 1533-position model. The record is from RNAcentral.